AGCCCUCAGCGUACAUGCCAGCUAAUUACAGAUGCAGGAGCAAACCCCUGGCCCAUACAUCAGUUGGGUGUGGUGACUCACACCUGCAAUCCCAGCACUUUGGGAGGCUGAGGAGAGCAGAUCACUUGAGGCCAGGAGUUCGAGACCAGUCUGGGCAACAUAAUGGAGUUUCGCUCUUGUUGCCCAGGCUGGAGAGCAACGGCACAAUCUCAGCUCACCGCAACCUCCGCCUCCCGAGUUCAAGCAAUUCUCCUGCCUCAGCCUCCUGAGUAGCUGGAAUUACAGACUUUGAGUCUUGCUCUAUGGCCCAGACUGGAGUGCAGUGGCAUGAUCUCGGCUCACUUCAACCUCCACCUCCAGGGUUCGAGAGAGAUUCUCCUGCCUUAUCUUCCCAAGUAGCUGGGAUCACCAACGCCCACAACCACACCCGGCUAAUUUUUGUACUUUUAGUGGAGACAGGGUUUCGCCAUGUUGGCUAGGCUGGUCUCAAACUCCCGACCUCAGGUGAUCCACCUGCCUUGGCCUCCCAAAGUGCUGGGAUUACAGACGUGAGCCCCCGCACCUGGCCAAGAUCAGCUAG
This 580-nucleotide non-coding RNA is filed under the name Pongo abelii (Sumatran orangutan). Lineage: Eukaryota; Metazoa; Chordata; Mammalia; Primates; Hominidae. The record is from RNAcentral.